CCUACGGGAGACAGCAGUGAGGAAUAUUGGUCAAUGGACGAGAGUCUGAACCAGCCAAGUAGCGUGAAGGAUGACUGCCCUAUGGGUUGUAAACUUCUUUUAUAUGGGAAUAAAAUGUUCCACGUGUGGGUUUUUGUAUGUACCAUAUGAAUAAGGAUCGGCUAACUCCGUGCCAGCAGCCGCGGUAAUACGGAGGAUCCGAGCGUUAUCUGGAUUUAUUGGGUUUAAAGGGAGCGUAGGUGGAUUGUUAAGUCAGUUGUGAAAGUUUGCGGCUCAACCGUAAAAUUGCAGUUGAAACUGGCAGUCUUGAGUACAGUAGAGGUGGGCGGAAUUCGUGGUGUAGCGGUGAAAUGCUUAGAUAUCACGAAGAACUCCGAUUGCGAAGGCAGCUCACUGGACUGCAACUGACACUGAGGCUCGAAAGUGUGGGUAUCAAACAGGAUUAGAUACCCUUGUAGUC
Molecule: ribosomal RNA, 460 nt
Filed under: uncultured bacterium
Lineage: Bacteria
Description: partial 16S ribosomal RNA
Rfam family: Bacterial small subunit ribosomal RNA
Source: RNAcentral